RNAcentral lists this long non-coding RNA (13370 nucleotides) under Gossypium barbadense (sea-island cotton). Its description in RNAcentral is "long non-coding RNA (GBAR_LNC015826)". The record is from RNAcentral. Lineage: Eukaryota; Viridiplantae; Streptophyta; Magnoliopsida; Malvales; Malvaceae.
GGUCAAUGCGAGAGAAGACUUCAGCAACACUGGUGGAGUUAGAAAUCAUGCAAACAGCUCUCUGGACCUUGGCGAGAUCACCACCAGGGACAACAGUGGGUGGUUGGUAGUUGAUACCGCACUUGAAUCCAGUAGGACACCAAUCGACAAACUGAAUGGUGCGCUUGGUCUUAAUGGAGGCGACUGCAGCAUUGACGUCCUUGGGAACAACAUCACCACGGUACAUCAAACAGCAAGCCAUGUACUUUCCAUGGCGUGGAUCGCACUUAGCCAUCAUAGAUGAGGGCUCAAAGGCACUAUUGGUGAUUUCAGCAACUGAGAGCUGCUCGUGGUAAGCCUUCUCAGCAGAGAUGACUGGAGCAUACGAGGAAAGCAUGAAGUGGAUUCUUGGGUAGGGAACCAAGUUGGUUUGGAAUUCAGUCACAUCGACAUUCAAGGCACCAUCAAACCUCAGUGAGGCAGUCAAGGAGGAAAUGACCUGGGAGACAAGACGGUUAAGAUUGGUGUAGGUGGGCCGCUCAAUGUCAAGAGAACGCCUGCAAAUGUCGUAGAUAGCUUCAUUGUCAAGGAGAACAGCCACAUCAGUGUGCUCCAAAAGGGAGUGAGUUGAGAGAACACUGUUGUAAGGCUCAACAACAGAAGUGGAGACCUGAGGAGAUGGGUAGACAGUGAAACCCAACUUGGAUUUCUUGCCAUAAUCGACAGACAAACGCUCCAAAAGGAGAGAACCAAGACCGGACCCGGUACCUCCACCAACAGCGUUGAAAACAAGGAACCCUUGAAGACCAGUGCAGUUAUCAGCAAGUUUCCUGAUGCGGUCCAAACAGAGGUCAACAAUCUCCUUGCCAAUAGUGUAGUGACCACGGGCAAAGUUGUUAGCUGCGUCUUCCUUGCCGCUGAUGAGUUGUUCUGGGUGGAAGAGAUGGCGGUAAGCACCAGUUCUCACUUCAUCAAUAACAGUGGGUUCAAGAUCCACAAAGACGGCACGAGGGACGUGCUUCCCAGCACCAGUUUCACUGAAAAAGGUGUUAAAAGCAUCAUCACCUCCUCCGACAGUUUUGUCACUUGGCAUCUGACCAUCAGGCUGUUAACAGAAACAAAACCGCUCAUAAGAAACUCAGCUUUCAAAGCCUAACAGCAAUAAACAGAUACAUCCCUCAUGGAUUUAAAGCUAAAAAACAGAAUACCAAUCAAACCUGACGGGAAAAACCGACAAAUUUAAAAACACAAACAAAGAUUAACCAGAUCCAGAGCAAGAAAAACCGACACCUUAAAGAUUCAAACAACAAUUAACCAGAUCUGAUUAAGCAUGAACAACAGAGACCUGAAUAAAACACAGAUAUAAACAUAACAAAGCUACAAACGCUGAAACGAAGAAGCAUAAAACACAGAUCUGAAUCAAAACGAAAGGUAACAUUAACAAACGUAAAAUCAUAAAGAAAACGGGAAAAAUACCUGGAUUCCAUGCUCGAGGCAGUAAAGCUCCCAGCAGGCGUUUCCGACCUGGAUACCGGCCUGACCGAUGUGAAUCGAAAUGCACUCUCUCAUUCUCGCUUAAGAAAAAUUCGAAAAAGCAAAGAAAGGGUGAAGAAGAAGAAAGAAGGCGUUUAUUAAGACACCUUCUAAGAUAAAUUCAAAUUUGAAUAUCUGAAGAGUGGUGAAGGGGGAUAUUUAUAGGCGGAUAAUGGGGGGGAAAUACAGGUAUUUGAGGGUGAUGUUGUAACUGUUGUGAUUAAGAUUAGGUCAAGACAGCCCUAAAUGAUGACGUGGGAUAACGUUAUUGGUCUGUUUAACUAUCGUUUUAACUACGGUUAGUUGGCUUUUCUAAUUUUUGAAUAUUUUUAAAAUUUGCCUCCCGGCUGUAUAAUUGGGUUUAUUGCAACUAGCAAGGUGAAUCGGGAUGGGUGGAUUUAACCAAUGUUAUUUGAAUUGGGUCAAUUAGUUAGAUUGAAAAAUAGUUGAGGUUAUCGAUCCGAAAGGUAUUUUUGAACCGAUUAAAUUGAGAAUCAAUUGAAUUGAUUAAAACAGAAUUUUUUUAUUCUUUUAUUCUUUUAAGUUUUUAAUAAACUGACGCUUUCAGCAUCAACAAAUUUAAUAUUCUACUUAAUAUUGUUUUUAGUAAAUAAAAAACAACAAUAGUGAAACAAAAGUACACUCUAAUUCAAACCAGACAGAUUGGACUCCACCAUAAGUAGUUCCCUAAUCGCCAGUAGGGGAUCCUCUAUCAAAUUAAAUCUCAUCAACUCUAGACUUACAAAUUUUGUAAACCGAUUUGCCAUUGUAUUCUGGGCCCGAGGAAUAUGUCUUACACGAACUUCCUAAGGACGAAUAAGCAUACUAUGUAACAACCUUAGUUCUAUCAUCUUGCUAUCCACGUCACCUCCAGCAAGAAUGGUCUCAGCCAACAAGCCAUUAUCACACUCUAACUCCAACUUUUGGAACCAUUUAUCCAAUGCCAAGCAAAGCCCUUCAAGCAUCGCCCUUGCUUCCACUUGAAAUAUAGUACCCUCUCCCAUUGUCAUUGUAAAACCACGUCGUCAGUCCCCAUUAGUGUAUCUAAUAACACCUCCAAUAGAGGCACAAUUCCUUAGUGAGAAUACAACACCAUCAGUAUUAAGUUUAAUGUAACCCUCCUCAAUACGCAACCAAUGUGAACCCUCCUCAAUACGCGACCAAUGUGAAGCUAUUGCCCUUGGAUGAGAAAAAGACAGCCCGAGUCUUCAAGGUAAAACACUCCGCGUCCAACUUGUGCUUUUAUCCACAAGUUCUUGCACACAACUGUGACCAUCCGAGAAAACAAACAAAUUCUAAUUCUUCCAAAUUAGUCAACAAAUAAUAGAGAAGAAAGAAUUCCAAGAGAAAGUAAUAACAUUUUUUAAAUUCCAUUUCAGCUAAUCCUCAUGAGAAAGAGAAAAGAAAUGUACCUGGCUCUAACGUGGUACUAACGUCAUCCAAAUUGCACGUAGAAAUGAGUAAUCCCUCACUGCAUGGAGACUCGUCUCAACCCCACAUCCACAUCGCAUACAAUGGCUAUCAGUAGCCAUAUGUCUUCUCAAUGUUUCUCCAUUAGUUAGGAUCCUAUUAUGCCAAAUGAGCCACAGAAAAACCCUUACUCGUUGGGGCGUCUUGGCCUUUCAAACUAGAUUCCAUUGAAUAGACGAGUUAGUAGAAUCAACUUGGUACAAAUUAUUAAACGUUUCUUUGAAUGAAAACUUAUCACUUGCCCUCCACUUCCAAAUCAAUUGAUCUGGCACACUUGAUGAUGACGGAGGAAUCAUCGCUACAAUAUAAGUCAGAAUUGAACGAAUGAGCCAUCUCCUCAACCGCACCCAAUCCCAAUCUCCUACAUCGGCCACAACAUCACAAACACGUAGCGUAUCGACUGGUUGUCCUCUACCAAUAUAGAAAUCUCUAAGUGGUCUAUGUAAUCUUAGCCAAAUGUCAUUCCAAAAUUAACUGUUCUACCGUCACCAAUAGUCCAUAUGACAUUAUUUAGAACCUCAAGCCAAACCUUCGACAAGAACCUCUAAAAAAAAGAGCAACUGGCUCGUGUAACAGACGCCGAUAGCCGAGUUUGAGGAGAAAAACUUUAUUCUAAUAAACUAAAUUCCGUAAUCCAAGGCCCCUUCUCUCAAUAGGCCGACAACUAUCUUCCCAAGCUAAAAACGUCGAUUUAUGUUCUAAUGAAUAAGAUCCCCAAAUAAAGUUUCGAGCAUGCUUCUCAAUUUCUUGACAUAUGGAAACAGGCAAGUGAACGGCACCUAUAAAAUAAUUGAGUAUAGCUAACAAAUUAGAUUUAGCUAAAGUAAUUCCACCCGUAAGGAAAGCUUAUUUGCAUCCCAUCCAUUGAGCUUCCUUCGAACUUUAUCCACUACAAACUCAAAGUUCUGUUGUCCAACUCUCCCACGAAACAAUGGCAUACCCAAAUACGUACCCAAAUUAUCCAUAUGUUCAAAACUGACUAUAUUGCAAAUAUCAUACACAAUAUCAACAGGAACAUUAGGAUAGAAGAAAAUAUGGAACUUACUUCUAUUGAAUUUUUGCCCCAAGAAAUGGCAAAAAUAUUCAGGAUAUUGUUGAUUAAGCAGCUUGCCCCCUAUCAGCCUCCCCAAAAAGGAAUAGAUCAUUCGCAAAGAAAAGGUGUGUCAACGCCGGCCCAUUCCUAGACAAAGGAUAAAAAUCUUAUGAAAAUUAAAUAAAUUAUAUUCAUUAAAAAUAUUGGCCUUGUUUGACAAUUGGCUGAAAAUUGAUUGUUGAUUGCAGUGAUAGCUAAAAGCUGAUAUAUGUAAAAUGACAAAUAACGGCAUGACACCUUUUAUUUUUAAGUAUUUGUUUGUUUAUAAUACUUUAGUUUUUAUUGGGUGAAAUUGUUGAAAUAAAACACUAUUACCAAUGAAUUAGAACAUCCACUAUGGAAAUUAAUUAGUGAAUAUUUUUAAAAUUUUAAAUAAAUAAAUUAAGUUCCUUAUUUGCAAAUAUUAACUUGUGGAAAUUGAUAAAUAUUAAUAGUGUAUCAAUAUAGUUGACGUAAACUAUAUUCUUACUGAUAAUUAUGCCAUGUUCUUAGUAUGUAAUUAGUGGUAAUUGUGUCACACUUUGAAUAAAUUUGUCAAGUAGCAUAUUUCAAUUAAUAUAAAGUUGCAUAACAAAUCAUUUUACACAAGAAAAUUGAAAAUAAAUUAAUACUACAUAAAUAUUCAAGGAUGAAUAGGCUCAAUCGACAAUUUAUCAAGGCAAUGUUGAUUUUUGUAGAUUCAUUGUGGAGUUUUUUUUUUUUUUUUUGAGAUUGACUUUAGACUUUAGAGGUGAAAGAGAAAAUGAGAGAAUGGAGACUACGAAUAUAUUGGCACCCCUAUUAGGUUUGAGAGCAUGAGGCAAAGGGAGUAAUUUUUGAGUAAGCCUGGUCAGAUAUAUCAUUCCAUAUAUCUAGUUCUCAAUCAGCUGUCGAAUCCAAACAUUUUUUGUUUUGGAGGUUUUAGCUCAACAAGUUCUUGCAAACCUCCAUUCACCAAACACUACAUAUACAACCCAAUUUUUGCCCGGCUCACAAACCAAAUCAAUAAAACAAACCCAAACCAUUAAUAGCCCAAAUGAAAAACAAUUUACCCAGCCCUAAGCCCAAACAUUUUCAGCAAAAAAACAAAAACCUAACCCUAGGUGCGCCGCACCUAGGGUGGUCCACUUGCUCUGCCACCGCCGCAGCCACCUGCCAACUGUUUCGUCAAGACCUGCAAAUACGAAAAGCAGUAGCAACAGCAGAAAUGACAAUUUUUAAUAAUAAAAUGUUUGAAUCGGCUAUAAAACGCCAAGAUCUGAUCCUUGUAAGGGUUACACACUAUUUUUUAGAAUACAAAAAAAGAAGUUCGAAACAGAUUCAAAGAAACAAAUGUGCUUUAUUUUUUUAUUUUUUUAUAUAUUUUUUAUUUCGAAAUAAAGGAAAUAAUAAGAAAAUAAAAGAAAUCUUUUACCUUAAGUGCCGAGGAUGGAGGUUUCUCCGGUCUUGAGGGUGGUUGAGCCAGCGGGCUCGCCAAAAAACCCAACCGACGACGAGGGGAAAUCAAAGGGUUUUGAUUUCUUUUUUUCUUUUCAUUUUUUGCUUUUGAGAGUCUUUUGGACUGCUUUAACCCUAAAUCGGGGCUUUGCUCGAAAAAAGAAGUGAAAAUGUGCUUUUUUGAAUUUUUCAGCCACUGUGCGCGGCGACACCGUCGCCAGCGACCGGUGGUCGGUAUUGCAGUCAUUGGCCGGAGCCAAGACUGGAGGGAAGGAAGGGUUGAGAGAAAACCCUUAAUUUUUCUUUUGAAAAUGAAAAAAAUGAAGUUUUUUUUUAAAAUUGACUUAAAUAGGCCUAUGAAACGGCGUCGUUUUGGGCUUGGUCACCAAUAGACAAAACGGCGUCGUUUUGGCCUUAGGAUCUGCGUGUUGACCCGACUCGUAAAGAGGAUUCGCGUGUUUUUGUCGGAAGGGCUAAUUGCACUUUUAUCCCUUCCGCUUUUUUCUUUGUUUUACAAUCAAGUUUUUACAUUUUUUUAAUUUGGCCCCAUUAAUUCGUCUUGGUUUCCAAUUUAGUCCCUAUUGAACCUGCGCAUUUUGGAGGGUGGGGAUUAUUACUCUUUCAGUCCUUCCCUAUUAUUCACGCAUUCAAAUUAGUCUUUUUCCUUUUAUUUAUUUCAAAUCCCCCUCAAAUAUUUCGUUUUUAGUUCAAUUUAGUCCAUUUUCUUAUUAUUUUAGCUAUUUUAUUAUUUAAUUAAUUAUUUUAAUAUUAUUAUCAUUAUUAUAUUAUACCAUUAAUCUUUUAUUAUUAUCUACUUAUUUAUGCCUUUUAAAUUUUAAAUUUUAUUAUAUAUAUACAUGCAUACAUUUUUAUAAUAUACGUACAUAUUUUUAUAAUUUAUAUAUAUACAUACUUAUAUAUAUUUUUUAUAUUUUAUAAUUUAUAUACAUAUCUAUAUAUAUCUAUAUACAUAUUUUUUAAUUUUCAUAAAUAUAUAUAUACAUACUUAUAUAUAUUUCUUAUUAUAUCUUAUAAUUUAUAUAUAUGUGCAUACAUAUAUCUUUUUACAUUUUUAUAAUUUUAUUCAUUUUCUUUAUUUACUUAUUUAUUUACGUUCUCAUUAUUAUUUUAAAAGAAUGUUUUACUUUUAUUUUCUUAUAUACUUAUUAUUUCAUGUAUAAUUGAUUUGUCAUUUUUAUUUAUCUUAUUUGUUGUCGUUGUUGCGCGUAUUAUUUAUGCUUACAUCAUCGUAUUUAUUAUUGUUUUGUUGCGCAUAUUAACACCAAGUUUUAUUUCUAUUAUUUCAUGUUAGAUUAAUUUUAUUUGAUGCAUAAAUUAUGAUUUUUGAAUAAGCAAAAUUUCGGGUUUAGAUUCGAAAAGGUCGUACCCUAACUUACAGGGUUUCGAUUUUCGCGAUAAAUCUAAAUACACGAAUCUUUUCAAACUUAAGUUUUUAAACGAUCUCGGAAAUCAACAAAAGAUCAUGUUCUAACUUACGGGACAUGAUCCCUUUUCUAAACCCGAGAUAGUUGAAUAUCUUUUUAAAUAAAUAAUUUUUUGGCAUUUAUUCACAUAUCAGGAAUUCGAUAGCUGUGUUCUAAUGCAUUGGAUAUGACAAAUUGUUUUCUCGAGAUGAGGAUUUUUCUAAAAAAAUAAUAAAGGCAAUAUUCAAUGUUUGGAAUAUUGAGAAAUUGUGCCCUAACGUAUUGGACUACGAUUUCUUCAUCUGACUUAAACAAUUGAAUAUCCUUUUGAAUUUUAUUGCAUGAGUUUUUUAAGGACAAGCUCAUUUUUGAGGAUGUGAAAUAUCAUGCCCUAACUCAUUGGGUGUGACAUUUUCUCUCUCCAAUAUGAGAAGGUCUUAGCAUGUAAUUUGAUUUAUACAAGUUUUUUUAACACAAGGAUCGUAUUUCGAAUCUCUUCAAAGUUUCCAAUUCUCGACACUAAGAAACUAAUUAAUCAACUAGGUACCAAUUUUGGGCAUUACGAGGGUGCUAAUCCUUCCUCGUACGUAACCAACUCCCGAACCCGUUUUUCUAAAUCUUGUAGACCAAAAUUGUUGUUUUGAUAAAUAACCACUUUUCGAGGUGACCCAAUUACACCUCAUUCAAAAAGAUUGGUGGCGACUCCCAUAUUCGUUUUUGUUUUCAAAAUCCAAGUCGACCCCGUUUUCACAAAAAAAUGGUGUCAACACUACAAUUAAAGGGUUUGAUUAUCAAUCCUCCAUUUGUGCCCAAAUCAUCUAGAAAAUAUUCAAAACUCUGUUUACCAAACACCUUCAUUAACUUAUUAUCAUAAAUCAUUUUAAAAUUUUUUAACCUAAUUUAUUACAAUAUUUGUAUAAUUAUAUUAAAAUAAUAUGAAAGUUUAUCAAAAUAAUAAUUAUUUAAAAUUGAAUUAUUAUAUAUUCAUAAUUUAUAUUUUUAUUAAAUAUAAUAAAAUAUUUAAUUUUAAUAAUAGAUAUUAAAAGUAAUAAUAUUGUAGAAACAAAAAAAUUUAUUAUAAUAUAUUUAUAUAUAUAUAAGUAAACUUGUCCAUGAAUGGGUUGUCCAUAUGCUAUAGUAGGCUCAACUCGACUUGUAUUGAGCUUGAAAGAAGAUUUUCGUUUCUCAAGAUGGCUCAGCUCGAUCCGAAAUCAAUAAAUAUUAAAAAAAAUAGAUUAAAAUUCAAGUUUAAUUAUAAAUAUAUAAAAAUAAUAUAAAAAAUUAUUAAUAUUUGAACAGUGAAAUGUUCUAAUAGGUUGGGUUGGGUAUAAACCUGUCCAUGGGUCAGACAAUCCGAUCCUACUCAAAGUCCCGCUCAAUAAGUGGGAGGGUUUGGGCAAAAAUAUAGGCACGAAAAAUGGGCUUGGGCAAAAAAAUAAGGACCAUUUAGAAAACGGGUCAGGCCUCGUGUAAAGUUUUUUGGCUCGGGUCAGCUCGACCCGAAUUUGGAAAAAAAGGAAAAAAUUGUUGUUGUUUUCGCACUAUUUUGCUGUCAUUUUACUAUUAUGUUGCUACUAUUUUGUUAUCAUUGUCUGGAUAUUGACAACUCUUGUUUUAUUGUUAAUUUUACUAUUAUUUUAGAGACAUUUACUUGUUAAGUUGCACAUGUCUUAGUGUUAUUUAAGUAUAAAGACUUUUUUUUAUUUUGUUUUCAAUUUGUCGGGAAAUAUUUAUUUUAAUGUUUUUAGUGUUUUUUAUGUAUUAUGUAUUUAAUUUUUUUAUAAAAAAUUUAAUACUAGUGGGUCGGGUUUUAGCAUUUUUAGCUGGGCUAGGUUUGGAUAAAAUUUUAGGCUCAUUUUUUGGACUGGGUACGAUCCUAUCAAGCGGGCUUAAAAUUUUGUUAGAGUUGAUCUUGAACCUGACCUAUCCCAGCCGAUGGACACCUCUAGUUGGGUCAACCUGAAAACCAGCCUAGUUUUGAUUUUGUUUUUUAAAUUGAUUUAUAACUCGACUUAAUCUCUAUAUUUAAGUGAUAAACUUUUAUUGAAAUUAUGAAAUUAUAUUUAAUAUAAUAUAUUUUAAUUUUUACUUAAUAUUAUAUGAUAUAUUAUUUAUUUAUUCAUAUAAAUACUUUUAAAGGCAAACAUGAAAUUUUUUUUAUAUGUUAUUCAAUCUUGCACGGAAUAAGUAUCACAAAAUAAUUGCUAUUAGAAGAAAAAGAGAAAUAGAGAAGAAAUAGUCACCCUAUUGAGUUAUUCUUCCAACCAAACUAAUAAAUCACACCAUUCAUUAUUGGGUAAGAGUGGAAUAACUAUUCGAUUUCCCCAACCAAAUAUGUUGUAAAUGCAACGAUAAGGCACAUCUCAAAUUUAAAAAUAAUAUUAUUAGUAACGACAAUCACAAAAUUUGACAAAAAAAUCUUUGAUUCACCAUUACAUUCAAGUUAUAUAUCACCAAAAAGAAAAAAUGCCCAUAAGCAAUUCACUUCAGAAAAAACAAAUCAAAACAACGAGCCAAGAGAAGGCUUGCCCUAAAAGAACUUCGUCCGACCUAAAGAUCCCAUGGUCACUACAAAUUCCAAAGGAAAUUUAUUCAAUAUUAUCUCAUGUUCUCUCCCAUCACUUCCCAGAGGCUUUAGUAGUGAUUGACUCCCCCAAACUUCAUGUUAGGUCCCAUAAUGUAGCAUUCAAUUGCAUCCUACUAGGAUUUUUUAUGAUUCGACCUUUCAUCCUUCUCAAUUUUUAGGGUACAUUCAUUUUGGUCACCCAAAAUAUAAACCAUUUCAAUUUUGUCACUUUGGUUAGAUAAAAUUUUCAUUUUAGCCAUUCAAUCGUUAACUUUGUUAAGGCAAGUUGUGUGAUUUUAUGCUAAAUGGCACUCAACAGUGCUCAUUGCAACCUGCCACUAAGGUAGUAAAGAUACUUGCCAUAUUUGAGUUGACAAAUUUAUACAAAAAAUAAAUAUUUGGACUAGUUAUUGUGUUGAUGUUUUGAAUAUACUAUAAUCCAUCUAUAGAAACCAAUUCGUGACUAGUAAAGAUUGGAUUAGAUUCGAAUAAAUCAAUACAACCAUUGUUUUGUGGAGAAUUCGUCAGGAUUGUAAUGCUGAUUUUGGAAGGUCAUAUAUUCGUAGGAUUAUGUUUUUGUUGGUUGUAUUAUAAUUGCUAUUUUCAACGAAUUGUUUUGUAUUCAUUUAGAUUCUAUGUUAGCGAGCCGAAAUUGAUAUAUGAUAUGAGGUAUGUCUAGGUGAUGUAUGAGAGCAUAUUGAGAGCACUUGUAUUUAUUCAUUGAGGAACUAUUUGUGUGAAUGUGCAAACUAAUUUGUAAACAUUAGGUGCUUAUUGCCCAAAUUCUCAGGGAAGAAAUUAGAGGUGAAUUGUAACAGCCCGAUUCUGGGCCUAGUCGGAAUAGUGGUUUCGGGACCACAAAUUCGACUAGGGAAAAUAUGACUAUUAUUAUAUUUUUAUGGUCUACAAUUUUACGAAAAAAUUUCGUAAAAAUUUCGUUCAAAAAUUUCGACGUUUGGGCACUCAAUUUAGUCAAAAUGACUAAAUUGUAAAAAGUGCAAAAGUUGAGUUCUACAUGUUAGAAGUGUCAAUUUGUUAUGAAAUUUUAAAUUGGGGGUCCUUAUGUGGUAAUUAGACCAUUAGUUAAUUGAUGGACAAAAAUAGACAUAAGAAAUGGGUGAAAUAGAUUUUUUUAAAUGGGGGGCAUUUUGGUCAUUAGCAAAUAAAUAGAAUUAAAAUGGGAAAAAGAUGGAAAAAUGGUGUCCAUCUUCAUUAAGUUGCUGCCAAAAUUUGGAAGACACCAUACCUAGGGUUUCUUUGCUUUCCCAAGCUCAUAGUAAGUGCAUCCUAGCCCCGUUUUUAAUGUUCUUUGUAUUUUUGAAAUCCUCGUAGCUCGGUUUAGCUUAUUUUACUGUUAAUUCAUGUUAGGGUUUAUAUUUGGAAAAAUACCCAUAGGUGAAAAGUGUUUAUUUUUCUGUUUUAUGGUGGAAUAUGAAGCUAGAAAUUAUGUUAAACAACUUUUACUAAGCGAUUUUAAACGAAAAUGGGUAAAUUGACAUAAUCGGUAAAAAUAGUUAAUGUUCAAAAGUAUGUGUUAGAGUGAGAAUUUGAUGUUUCCAUAGAAGGGAAAAAUGUUCAGCAUGUCAUAAAACAUAAUAAUAAGUGAUGAAGUUUAAUUUCCGAGCUUGGGGACAAAAGUGUAAUUAUGCAAAAGUUUGGGGGCAAUAUUGUAAUUUUUCAAAAAGUUGGGUGGUGGAUUAUUUUAAUAAAUGUGGACAUUAAAUGAGUUAAAUUUGCCAUUAUAGAUCAAGAAAGACGAGAAGACUACCUCAAACGGGGAAAAGAGAAGGUAAUGGAGUAAAUUGCAAAAUUUCGAUAUUUUGCACCGAAGUAAGUAAACAUGUAAUUUAAUGCAUUAUUUUGAUAUUAUUCAAUAUAUGUUAGUAUUUAAUAGAACAUAGAAUAAAUAUUUGGCAAGAUCCUAAAAAUAUGGUUAAGUUGGGUAAGGUGGUAAAGUGUUGAAAAUAUGGGUUUCGGUUGAACACUCGGAAUAAGCCGGAGUACAUGGAAUAUGAAGGGGUUGCUAAGUGCUGAUUCCUCGACUCAAUGGUGGUUGCUAAGUGCUGAUUCCACCGUAUCUUUAAAUAUAAAGGGGGUUGCUAACUGCUGAUUUCCCCAAGGGGUUGCUAAGUGUUGAUUCCCCGAUUCAUUGGUGGUUGCUAAGUGCUGAUUCCACCGUAUCUUUAAAUGUGAAGGGGGUUGCUAAGUGCUGAUUCCCCCAAGGGGUUGCUAAGUGUUGAUUCCCCGAAUGAUUAAUUUCGAAAUCCCCUGUUCCAACUUUGGAAAAUUACCAAAAAUUGUACAAAAAUAAUUAUGGCCUGAAAUUUAUAUUCCUAGAUUCCUUAUUGAGUCUAUUUUUAAUAUAAACAAACAAGACCAUUGUUUAAAUUUUGUACAGAGAGUUAAGUAAAUUUUAGUAAAGGGAGGUCAGAACUGUCGGGCAGUGAAACAGGGGAAUCUUUAAAGAAUAAACUGUACUAAUUGGCUAAAUAAAAAAUUCUAAAAAUGUUAUGGUAGAAAGUUAUAUGAGUCUAGUUUUGGGUAAAAUUUACGGAACUUAAUUUGGAGUCCUGUAGCUCCAGAUAAAAAUAAAUUAGCGUCUGUGACGCAGAAAGACAGUUUGCUGGAAAUUAAACGAACCUUGAAAUUUAUGUGUGACUAAAAUUAUGUUGCUAUGAAAUCAAGUGGGAAAUUUAUUUAUUUGUCAUAUGUUUACUUACUAAGCUAUAUGAUUACUCGUUUUUAUUUUCCCUUGAUUAUAUUGACAUCAGCCAACUCGAAAUUUGGACGAAGUCAGGAAAUCAUCCACACUAUCAUCAAAUUUUUGGGCAUUUUGUAAUUAAUAUUUUGAAAUAUUGAAUGUAUAGAUGACUUUAUGUGAUGUGGUAUAAAUAUAUAUAUAGUGUUGUUCGGUUUAAUAUGUUGGUGAUUAUUAAUGGAAAAAUUAUGUCUGAACAUAUAUCUGUAAUUGGUUGGAAAUAUUGAAGUUGUUUGAAAUUGUUUUUGGAAAGUUGCAGGGGGUUUUAUGUAAAAACAAGCAGAAAUGCUGCCGAAAUUUUUAUAAAAAAAAAUUUAUAAGUGUUUGAGUUCUAGUAAUACCUCAUACUCUGUUUUGGUAAGGAACACGGGUAAGGGGUGUUACAUUUUAGUGGUAUCAGAGCUACGGUUUAGUCGGUUCUUGGACUACUAAAAUAUGUGUGAAAGUUAAUCUAUACAUGCCAUAAUUAUAUUGUGAUAGUGUGAUGAUUUCUGACAAUUUAAAAUUUUAUUUUAUAUAGUAAAUGGAUCCUGACCGAAGUGUGACAGAUGAUGUUGAAAGUAAUGCGCAGGCUCCCACACAAGGGACCGCGCAUGAAGAAAGUAGACAUGAGAUGCAUUGUCAGGAUGAGGCUCGGGAAGCCUUCCUUCGAAUGAUGAGUAAUUGGUACACAGAAUUUGUUCGUGCAAAUCCGAAUGUUCAACCUCCUCCACCCCCUCCUAUUCCUCAACCGGUCCCCGUAGCUCCACAAAGUGUUGAUUUGGUGAGAUCAAGUAAACCUCCCGUUGACAAAAUCCGAAAGCAUGGGGCUGAAGAUUUCAGGGCUAAUGUUGAUGAUGAUCCAGAAAAGCAGAGUUUUGGCUUGAAAACACUAUUCGGGUAUUAGAUGGACUAUCUUGUGCUCCUGAUGAAUGUUUGAAAUGUGUUGUGUCUUUAUUGAAGGAUUUAGCAUACCGUUGGUAGAAAACAUUAAUAUCGGUGGUUCCGAAAGAAAGAGUUACUUGGGACUUCUUUCAGGAGGAAUUCAAAAAAAUAUAUAUAAGCCAACGGUUUAUUGAUCAGAAACGCAAGGAGUUUCUUGAGUUGAAGUAGGGCCGGAUGUCUGUGGCAGAAUAUGAAAGGGAGUUUGUC